CAUGUCCGCGCGUUGAAACAACCCCAGUUAAGGGGAACCCCGCUAAAAAACGUGUAUUUUAUCCCUUUGAACGCGGGGUUUGUUGUGAAAACCUGGCAACCCUGUCGCUAAAGCUAAACUGCCUCAGAAGAGCGACUUUCGGAAAGAAGACGGUUGAGCUCAUGUGAUUGUUCUCCUCUCAGCCGUAGAUAAACACACGCAAUGGAAGAAACUUUAGCACGAAAUAAACACGAAUAAACAUCCAAAGGUCGGUUCCCCUGCGUUUCAUACGGUGGGUUUGGGUGGCGAGUGGACGGGACUCUGAUGUGGAGUGGUGCUGUGGAGCUGAGUUCCCACUACUAGACCAGCAACUUCCUGCGCCUCAAGAUGGAUUAGAGCUUCACGCCUCCGGAGAUCAAAGGUGGCUGUGUGAAGGGGGACCCCCAGGGCUGGACCCAUGAGGAGUCAAAGAAGAUGCUCGCAGCCUGGGCGCCUCUGCUCUUCUUAGCCAUGUGGGUGAGAAAUGCCACCAGUGGCCCGCUCUCAUUCAGAAUAGCUGCCAUUCUUGAUGACCCGAUGGAGUGUAGCCGCGGGGAGCGACUGGCCAUCACUCUGGCGAAAGACAGCAUCAACCGUUCCAGCAACCGCUCCACCACAGGCAAGCUGGAGGUGGACAUCUUUGAGCUGCUCCGAGACAGUGAAUACGAGACAGGGGAAACUAUGUGCCAGAUCAUGUCCAAGGGGGUUGUGGCGGUCCUGGGCCCCUCUGCCAGCCCGGCAUCCAACUCCAUCAUCAGUAAUAUCUGCGGUGAGAAAGAGGUGCCGUAUGUGAAGGUGGCUCCGGAGGACAUACUGAAGGUGCAGUUUCCUCGCUUUACCACGCUGGACCUCAGGCCCACUAAUACAGACAUCAGCAUGGCUGUAGCUGGACUGCUAACGUUCUUCAACAGCAGCACGUCAUGUCUCAUAUGUGCUCAGGCCGAUUGCCUAUUAAACCUGGAGGUGUUACUGCGACAGUUUCUCAUCUCCAAGGAAACCCUUUCCGUUCGCAUGCUGGAUGACAGCCAGGAUCCCACCCCCCUUCUCAAGGAGAUCCGCGAUGACAAGACUGCCACCAUUAUAGUGGAUGCCAACGCCACCAUGUCUCACAUUAUUUUGGAAAGGGCCUCAGAGUUGGGGAUGCUGUCAGUGUACUACACCUACAUCCUGACUUCCUUGGAAUUCUCUCAGCUACGAUUGGACGAUUUAGCUGAUCAACGAGUCAACAUCGUCGGUUUUUCAGUCUUCAACAGGACACAUCCUUUCUUUCAGGACUUUGUCCUCAGCCUCAAUCGAUCCUGGCAGGAGAACUGUGAUCAUGCUCCUUUUGCAGGAACACCACUUUCGUCAGCGCUGCUGUUUGAUGCGGUACACACGGUGGUGGCAGCCGUGCAGGAGCUGAACCGUAGCCAGAACGUAGGAGCCACUCAGCUCUCCUGCAAGUCCUCUAAGAUCUGGGAGCACGGCACAAGUCUGAUGAACUACCUGAGGAUGGUAGAGUUGGAAGGUCUAACAGGCCACAUCGAGUUCAACAGCAAAGGCCAGCGCUCGAACUAUGCCCUCCGGAUCAUGCAGAGCAGCAGGGAUGGCCUAAGGCAGAUUGGUCAGUGGCAUUCAGAGCAGGGACUGUCCAUGGAGAGGAAGCUUCCAUCACUUAACGUGACAGACACACUAUUCAACACCACUCUCACCAUAACUACCAUCCUGGAGAAUCCGUACGUAAUGCUAAGAGCCAAUCACCAGGAACUUGAAGGGAACGAGCGCUACGAAGGUUUCUGCGUGGACAUGCUGAAGGAGUUGGCAGAUAUCCUGAAGUUCAAGUACCGCAUUCGUCUAGUUGGGGAUGGUGUGUACGGAGUGUCGGGCACCAAUGGCACCUGGACAGGCAUGGUGGGAGAGCUCAUCAGCAGGAAGGCUGACUUGGCUGUGGCCGGCCUGACCAUCACGGCUGAGAGGGAGAAGGUCAUUGAUUUCUCCAAACCCUUCAUGACUCUGGGGAUCAGCAUCAUGUACCGAGUGCACAUAGGAAGAAGACCGGGGUAUUUCUCCUUUUUGGAUCCGUUCUCUCCUGGGGUUUGGCUUUUCAUGUUGCUGGCGUACCUGGCAGUGAGCUGCGUGCUCUUUCUGGUGGCGAGGCUAACACCUUAUGAAUGGUACAACCCUCACCCUUGCCUGAAGGGGCGCUGUAGCCUGCUUAUUAACCAGUAUUCGCUGGGCAACAGUUUCUGGUUUCCUGUGGGCGGUUUUAUGCAGCAAGGCUCCACCAUCGCCCCCAGAGCCCUGUCCACACGCUGCGUCAGUGGAGUAUGGUGGGCCUUCACCUUGAUCAUCAUCUCUUCCUACACAGCCAACUUGGCGGCCUUUCUCACUGUGCAGAGGAUGGAGGUGCCCAUCGAGUCCGUGGACGAUCUGGCUGACCAAACGGCCAUCGAAUACGGCACCAUGCACGGCGGGUCCACCAUGACCUUUUUCCAGAACUCCCGCUACCAGACGUACCAGCGCAUGUGGAACUUCAUGUACUCCAAGCAGCCCAGCGUGUUCGUGAAGAGCACUGAGGAGGGCAUCGCCCGAGUGCUCAAUUCCAAUUAUGCCUACCUGCUGGAGAGCACCAUGAACGAGUACUACCGCCAGCGCAACUGCAACCUCACCCAGAUCGGAGGCCUGCUGGACACCAAGGGCUAUGGCAUUGGCAUGCCUCUGGGCUCGGUCUACAGAGAUGAGUUUGACCUGGCCAUACUCAAACUACAGGAGGAAAACCGCUUAGAGAUCCUGAAGAGGAAAUGGUGGGAUGGUGGCAAGUGUCCAAAAGAGGAGGAUCAUCGAGCGAAAGGUCUGGGCAUGGAGAACAUCGGUGGGAUCUUCGUGGUGCUUGUGUGUGGUCUUCUGGUGGCCAUCUUCAUGGCGGUGCUGGAGUUUGUGUGGAUGCUGCGUCAUACGCCAGCAACAGAGCUGUCCGUGUGCGAGGAGAUGCUACGAGAGCUGCAGGGCAUCGUGCUGUGUCAGGACAGCCUGCAGUUACGGCGCAGGCGCGGAGCCAGCGUGUUGCGACCGCAGCCUCUGCCCCUGGACGAGCGACGGGCGCGGGCAGCGGCAGCGAGCCUCAGCAACGGCAAGCUGUGCACGGGCACCGGCCUGCCUGAACCCCUCUCCCACAGACUGGCGCAGGAGGCCGCCCUAGUGGCGCGAGGGUGCAGUCACAUUCGCAUCUGCCCGGAGUGCCGGCGCUUCCAGGGCAUUCGAGUGCGCCCGGCCGGCCCUCCAGGAGCAUCGCCCAGCCACAGCGAGGAGAGUAUAGAGUGGGAGAAGGGCACCAACAACAGUGAACACGAAUAACCUCUCGGAUCUGUGGCGGAUAGACGUUAAACGACAGCUUUGCUGGACCCAGGGAUUAUGGGAACGUAGGCUCCAGGGAAGGAGCUAAAAGAGAAGCUGUCCGUGCUGCUCGAUUCGGCCCAGGAGCUGCAUAUGGUUUCUGUACACUGUCCUUACAGCCCUCUGCUUUCGGGGGACACAGCAGAGGGGCUUUGUACUAUGCAGUAUAUUUGUCUUACUGUGCUGUUGAUUUAUUUUUAAAUUAUUCCUCUUUUGUUGUGAUACCACUAUAUUGCUAUUAUCUCCUUCUCACGACACCCGUUUAGUUUGUUUUUUCACACCUCGGACAGCUACAGACUGUCAACCACGCGCAACCUUUUUUAGAGUGCCAAAACACUUUGUAUUAAUUCUGUGCUGUUGCCGUCUCAUUCCGGCCCCUGAAGGAGUAACUAUUAAGAGAACUGAACACAAAAACAACUACGAUCUGUUUUUAUUGAUAGUCAUAUUCUAUUAAAAAGGUUUUUGGGAUGUUUCUGAAUGUUUGAUGUGCAUGUACGAGGGUUUUAGAUGCAACUGAAUGGAGAAGAACAUGGGAAUUCUAUUUUUUCUGGUUAAAGACACACUUUCUAUAUUUUUCUUUUCAUUCUUUUAAGUUUUGAUUCAUUUUGUUGCACUCCUUGGAUAUGAAAAUUGCACAUAGUUGUGGGAAAGUGGAAGAUUAUGCUCCCAUUUAGGAAAUUUGCAUUGGGAAACUAACUAGGAUUUAUGCCAAUUUCUAUUCACCCUUAUUUUUGCCAUUCCUGCAGGGCGCUUGGAGGUGUCAGAUGUGUUCACUUUCAAAAAAACAUCAGGAAAGUGAGAUCUGAGGUGAUUUUGUUCCUGUUGAGGAACAUCUGUACCACUCAAUACAUGAUGAAAUCAACUACAGACAGGGUCACUUCAUCUAGACAUAUCUGUGUGAUGAGACAUUGGAGAUCAUAGGCCUAUAUACAUUCAGGCUUCUGAUGAACAAUGGCAAAGCUGUAUGUGCAGGUGGGUUUUCGCUGGAUACACAGACCUGCAGACAACUCUAUCGGGGCAACUUCAAGAUGUGACACAUUUACUAUGUGGGGCAUGGCAUCAGCUGCACAUCUGCUUUAGAUUCACAGAGGCACAAGCUGGUUUAAAGAGUGUCAACAAACAAGCAAAAACAUUUGGGAGACAAUUACUGCUUGGAGUGACAACUGACUGCUUAGGAAGGUUAAAACAAGUAGUUUCCAAUUAGCAUUUACAAUUUGGGUAAAAGCAAAGAAAUAUUGCCAAAAAUGUACAUGCAGCAAUUAUUCACAUCUGUCACAAGAAUUGUAUCAUCAUGCAAAAGUUAUAAGCUUCUAAUAUCAUUGAAAUGCCAAAUUUGCACUAAUUUAUUCCAUUAUCCAAAGUGAUAGGAGGGUUAAAAAGAUAAAGAAAGUAGUAUCUGGCUUGUCAUGUGACCUCAAAAUGGCUUACUGAGUACACUUUUGUGAUUGCAUUGUUCUUUUCUCUUUACUAAAUACUUUAUUAUAUAUAAAUAUCUGGUUCAGUGAGAACUUACACCCAGUCUCAUGAAAAAAACAUAACUAUUUGAUGAGAUUGCAAUGUAACUCAUACAAGAAUGUGAUUUUUUUUUUAGAAAGAAGUAAGCAUGAAGGUCCAUCUCUACUGUAAAUAUAUGGGGUGUAAGCAUAUUAUAUGAAAACAUACGAAUAAAAUUGAACUAAUUCAUAUGAGUUAGCCACCAAUUCGCCAAAAUGUAACAUUGCCAUGAGACUGUUUUGGAGCUUCUGUGUUUGCCUCAAUCCUGAGUAUUUUCAAACUGAAGAAAUAUCUUCAACAUCUGCAGAUGUCUAUAUCAUGGAAAUCCAUUUACGUUCCAGGGUUCAAAC
Onychostoma macrolepis is the source of this 5234-nucleotide RNA transcript. It is a transcript of the gene named glutamate receptor, ionotropic, kainate 4, with no coding region annotated. The record is from RefSeq and is a predicted model, not a curated record. NCBI's taxonomy places the organism in Eukaryota, Metazoa, Chordata, Actinopteri, Cypriniformes, Cyprinidae. The transcript is spliced from 23 exons.